CCUAAGUAGCUUUUGGCAUCACAUUUAAAAAUCUUAAGUAUGCCUUGAGGAGAACCCCUGCAUGUCCCUGCCCCUUUCCUACCAGUGCCCCCUACAUGUUGUUAGCUGAGUGUCCCAUGGGGCCUGAGGCAUUUACUCUGAAACAAUUAGAAUGUUCAAAGCAGGCUGGAGUCACAUAGAUACAGAAGCCAGGAAUAAUGGAAUAAGACUGCAGUUCUAUUCUGUUGGUUUCUGGAACUGAGGGCAUAAUUAAGAGGAAUAGCCAGGGACAUUCAUAUUGCAGCACUACAAGUGAAAUUCUUGGACUGGUGCAAGAUGGACAAGAGUAAAAUUAUUUGCCCAGAAUGUUUUCAUUACUCAAG
Molecule: non-coding RNA, 362 nt
Filed under: Felis catus (domestic cat)
Lineage: Eukaryota; Metazoa; Chordata; Mammalia; Carnivora; Felidae
Description: Eukaryotic small subunit ribosomal RNA
Rfam family: Eukaryotic small subunit ribosomal RNA
Source: Rfam by way of RNAcentral